Dermochelys coriacea (leatherback sea turtle) is the source of this 3483-nucleotide long non-coding RNA. RefSeq lists it as uncharacterized. NCBI's taxonomy places the organism in Eukaryota, Metazoa, Chordata, Testudines, Dermochelyidae. The transcript has 3 exons. The record is from RefSeq and is a predicted model, not a curated record.
CGCUAACCUUCUAUAUAAAAAAUAUAAAGUGAGCCCACUUGGGUAAUUUUUCUUGCUAACAAAAAUUGCAGUGUUCAUACCAAGAGAGAUGAAAAACAAUAGAAAUCUAGAAUACCUUUGAUCUCCAGAAAGUAGCAGGCUCUGGCAGCAUGAUUGCCCUUCAUAUUGGGGCAUCUGCAGCUAUGCAUUCCUUUACAGCUACAUGAAAGUAAAAAGUUCCCACUACUGUGCAGCUGGGUCAGCUGUCCAAGUAACAAUUCGGAAUGUUUUGAUUGUGUGCUCUCUACAUUGGUGAGGGUUCAUAAACACAUAAAAUGUAUAAGCCAGAUCCUGUGACCAGUAAUUUUUUGGAAGGAAAGGGGAUCUGCCAAGUUGCUGCCAUGCAACACAUCUCUCUUUCCCAAAAUAGCCUCAUCUUCAUCUUUACUUUCCUCUUUUUUUUUUACCUCCACCUUAAAAGGCAUCUUAGUGGGGUUGAACUUUCAGCUAAAGGACAGAGUGACAGUAUAAUAUAUCAUCAAUGCACUUUAUCAUCAUCAUGAGGACAAAAGUUUAUUGUUGACUUAGGGUGCAUUCUGGAGAGUGUAGUACAAUGGCUUUCCUCUUAAAGUACAAUAGUUGUUCUUGUGUUGUUUUGUCUUCAGGAGCUUGAAAUUGGAAAAUGGUGUUUUUAUUGGGGAAGAGAGUGCUGGGCACAAGGAUCAUGUCAUUGGAUCAAGAUUUGGUUUCAGUUCAGAAUGCUUUAAACCUGACACACUUAGUGGGGUUUGACCAUUUUCAUAAACUGUUAACAAACCAUAUGUCAAACAUAUUUUGUGGAGUUUAGUCAAAUGGGAUAGUAAAAUUAAAGAUGGCUUGGAGUGGAUUAACUUCAGCCUUUUUUAUUGCAGCGCAGCUAUUAUAAAUGUCAGUACUUUACUCACUUUGCUUUGAGUUUCACCAGAUUAAUUUCCCCCUUUGGUUUGCAGUCAUGUUAUUGACUUAACAAGAAUUUCCAUGUUACAGUUUUAAAAUGUGGGUGCUGGAGUGAGCACAUUUCCUAUUUAUAGUUCAGAUGCUGUCAUUUCCAUCCUAAAGAAACUCCCAUCAUGGUAGCAAGUCAUCUUACCACACUUUUACGCAAUAAUAGAAAUUCAGCUUGACAGCAAGACACCAUAUACAACAACUACUUUCUGUCCUGAAUGUAAAUUCAGGAUGAGAGAUCAGCUGGCAUUCAGGGCCUAACCCAAAGCUCAUUCAGUGGAUUUUACCUUUGGAUCAGACCCUCACUGAGGACAUGAGUUGCCUUACUGGAGCAGACCGAUGGGUCUGUGUAGUGCAGUGUCUACCUCUGCUGGUUGUCUAUUCCUGAUGCUUCACAAUAAGAAGACACCUACCCACCAUCUCUAAGAAAAAUGCAUCUGGCCAAUUUUGCAAUGUUUAAAUAUGGAAGGUGGGUUUUUUGUUUUUAAAAGAUUUACUCUCAUUAGGUUACCAAAUUUUAGGCCCCUCAUUUUAUUCAUCCACCUUCCCUGCUUUUGACAUGCGGCAGUUCCAGGAUUCACACUUCAACCAGACUUUGGACUUUUAAAAACUCUUUUGUGUGUAAGUUUCUCAUCAUGAGAAGAAUUAACGAUUGACCCAACAUUCCAUUUGGUUUUCCUUUCAAAGCCUGUGUCAUAGAUCAAAAGAAACCCUGCUAUUAUUUAAUGUGACAUUCACCCGUAGUAAUGAAGAAAUUCAGCUACAAAUGACCUUCCUGGCUUGCAUUCAUGGCUUGGUUACUGCCUCCCUACUUUGGUUUAUUUUUUACCUUUUGCUUCUAUUCCUUGAUCUCCAGGAUGCUCCAGGAAUACAGAGACCCACAACACUAGCUCUUCAGCUAUAGUUCAGCAUUAGGGCUAAUAGAAAUCCCAUGCAUUCAUACAUGCAUGCAUCCAGUCCUUACAUUCAUACAAAGUCUCUGAUCAGUUAAGCUGCCCCAUGCCCUGAAGGCUUGUUCCAAUUCCUACUGAAGUCAGUGGAAAGGCCUUAAUGGGAGCGGGAUCAGGGCUUGAAUGAGUAUUGGGCUGUAGCGCAAGGGACAUCUUUUCAGCAUAACAGGAAGAUAGAUAUAUAGAUAGAUAGAUAGAUAGAUAUACACACACACAAAAUAUACUGAAAUUUGUUUUUAUUUUUGGGAAAAGACCAAAUAUAGUAUAUUUUGCCCCAUAUUAGACGCCUUAUUUUUUUCAUUCCUAAGUAAUAGAGGGUCCUAAUUUAUAUUUUAAAAAUUGCAUGAAUCCAUUAUUUGUAACAGGUUAUGCAAAAUUAUUUUGGUUUUCUUUUUUGUUUUUUCGUGUUUGAGUACAGAAUGAUCAUGUUUCUUUUAUUACAUUUUUUCUUUAUAGAACUGUUACAGAGCUAAUGUUCAGUCUCAUUGAUUUCUAUUGUUACUGCUCCACAAUACAUUAGGAUAUAUUCUGCACUUGAUAUGUGCAUGCAAUUUCUGCAGUUCUGUAAACUCCUUAACACAUUAACAGCCUAAAAAGGGUGCCCCUGGUGUCAGUUUAGAGUGACAAAAUUACAUGCAUGCUGCAAAAUACACAAUCCAUCACAUUCUCUGAAUGCUAAUGCCUCAGAAGCUAUACUCUCAAUGGAUAGCAGGAGGAAUUCACCCUAGUGUAGGGACCCUGCCCACACCCCAUCUACUCAAGUGAAGGACUUACAUGAUGCAGAGGAACUUGGAUAGGCCCUCUGUACUGGGUUGUAUUUCACCCAGUAAAAAUGUUGUGUGAUAACUACAUCAAUUAAUAACAUUUUCUGAUCUAAAAUAGCUUUGGAUCUGAUCCAUUUCAUCAAUAUAAGCAGGAUCAUAGUGGUAGUUUAAAAAAUUAAUUAUGGGUCCUGGAGGCCUGUAGAGCUGGUACAUGAGUGGAAGGAAAAGGAUAGUUCUAUUUACAUGCUAUCAAAUCCAAAGUAUUCAGUAACCCACUAAGUCAAUGGGAGACUUUGAAAACUAUCCUUGGAUAACUGAUGAAAAGAAUAAGCUUAUAAAAGAAAAAUCUCCCCUUAGAGAAGAUGUUUUUCUUAUUUUAUUCUGUCUUUCAGUUCACAGCUAUGGUGCUUUCCGACAAAUCUCAUUACAGUUUUUAACAAAUCUCCUUCCUUUCAAGUUUGACAGUGUUAAUAAAAAGCCAAAGUUGUGACAGUUCUGCUUGUCGAUUCUCUGAGUGCUGAACACAAGGAAGGAAAACUUGAUGCCAGUUAACCACAGGAGCUGAAAACUCAGAGACUAAAUACAAUUAUUGUGCUGAAGCAAGAAGACUUGAAAUUCUGUCCACAAAGCAGGUUGUCACCCUCUUUUGUAACUGAGCGAAGAAACUGUUAGGCUAUUGUUUUCUUUCUGUGCCUCCCAGCACUAUCCAACUUAGCUACAUAGGAAAUUAUUAAUGGGUUUUUAGGUAACUGGAAGUAGAAGGAAAAAGCACCGAUAAGUCUCUCCAUUAUUUUUCCCUUUUCCUU